RNAcentral lists this ribosomal RNA (253 nucleotides) under uncultured bacterium. RNAcentral describes it as "partial 16S ribosomal RNA". It matches the Rfam family "Bacterial small subunit ribosomal RNA", at positions 524 to 776 of the family's 1533-position model. The record is from RNAcentral.
UACGUAGGGGGCGAGCGUUGUCCGGAUUUAUUGGGCGUAAAGAGCGUGUAGGCGGUUCGGUAAGUCUGUCGUGAAAUCCUGAGGCUCAACCUCGGGCGUGCGAUGGAUACUGCCGGGCUAGAGGGUGGUAGAGGCGAGUGGAAUUCCCGGUGUAGCGGUGAAAUGCGCAGAUAUCGGGAGGAACACCAGUAGCGAAGGCGGCUCGAUGGGCCACGCCUGACGCUGAGACGCGAAAGCUAGGGGAGCGAACAGG